This 298-nucleotide ribosomal RNA is filed under the name Chloropicon mariensis. RNAcentral describes it as "partial Eukaryotic large subunit ribosomal RNA". It matches the Rfam family "Eukaryotic large subunit ribosomal RNA", at positions 943 to 1245 of the family's 3401-position model. The record is from RNAcentral. Lineage: Eukaryota; Viridiplantae; Chlorophyta; Chloropicophyceae; Chloropicales; Chloropicaceae.
UCUAGUAGCUGGUUUCCUCCGAAGUUUCCCUCAGGAUAGCUGGAGCUUUUUAGUUUUAUCGGGUAAAGCGAAUGAUUAGUGGCCUCGGGGAUGUAACAUCCUCGACCAAUUCUCAAACUUUAAAUAGGUAAGAGUCGCGGUUGCCUAAUCGAACCGUGGCGUUAAAUACAAGCUCCAAGUGGGCCAUUUUUGGUAAGCAGAACUGGCGAGGCGGGAUGAACCGAAAGUCAAGUUACGGUGCCAAACUUCACGCUAACCUAGAUCCCACAAAGGGGGUUGAUUCAUAUAGACAGCAGGA